CCACAUUUGCCACUCCUCACUCCACCUAACCAAACCAGUAAAAGUGAGCCAAUUAACAGAUCAAUCUAGUAAGAAACAAAAAAAUCUAGAAACUUCAGUAGACAGUGGUCAAUAGUGACUUUUCAAACUGAUGUGGUGUCACACAUUCUGUGAGCAUGUCAGAGGCAGCAGCAUCACAUCAAACUUUGCCAUGGAAGUUGUCAGGUGUGCGUGUUGCAGCUUUUCAUGGCUCAUAUAGAACUGAUGCUAUCACUAUUUUUUUAUAUUUUUUCCUUUUAAUGAAUAACAAACAGGGUUGAGGAUAACUUAGCCCGGUAAUUUGAACUGAAAGCGAAGCAUAGGGUUUCCUUCUUGAUGUCAAGUCCAUCUCUUCCACACUCUCCACUCUUCUUGCUCUGUCUACUGCCACUAAUUUUCUUUUCCAGCAGCCCACAUCCCUUCUAAUCCAUCUCACUCCAAUGUUUUUCUAAUGAUGUCUCUUCCUUUUUGGUAUUAGAUCCUUUUUAUAAAUUCUGACCAUUAAUAAAAGAACAUGUCUAACUGCAUAAAAUGUAAAAUUUUUACCAAUACUUUUCAAUAGCAGGCAUAUUCCUGCCAUUUGGUUGACAAGUUGUUCC
Arachis ipaensis is the source of this 617-nucleotide non-coding RNA. NCBI's taxonomy places the organism in Eukaryota, Viridiplantae, Streptophyta, Magnoliopsida, Fabales, Fabaceae. The record is from RefSeq and is a predicted model, not a curated record.